Molecule: long non-coding RNA, 1141 nt
Filed under: Zonotrichia albicollis (white-throated sparrow)
Lineage: Eukaryota; Metazoa; Chordata; Aves; Passeriformes; Passerellidae
Description: lncRNA (ENSZALG00000012336.1)
Source: RNAcentral
GCUGGAACAGCAGCCAGCCUGUCCCAAACCUGGUUCUGCUUUACAUCCAGCCUUGUUUGUGGUUCCUGCUGCAGUGGCAGCUGUGCCUUGGAUCAGGCACAGGACAGAGCAUCUGCUGUGAGAGAAACCUCGAGAAAGAACAGCAUUUUGAAACUCUGUGCUCUUAAGAACCGCUCAGCUGUAACCUAGAAAGGUGCAAAGGGACCCUGUCCUUCAGGAUGAGAAGUACAAGGCACAAGGGCAGCCUGGAGAGAAGAAAUAUUGUCUUCCAUUGACGUUUGUGGGUGAGUCAUUCCCGCUCGCUCUGACUCAGCACCGAGCGCUGCCAUCCUCCCCAGAGCAUCUCCCAGCUCACAGCAGCCCCUGCCCAAAGGACAGAGCCCCUCUGGCUCUGCAGGGCACCCUGGGGGCCCAGAGGGGGCCCUGGCCAAGCAGCUGGGCCUGGGGCAGUGGCUCUGACCCUGACCUCUGUCUGCAGCCGAGUGCUUGGCACAGUCCUGCUGACAUCUGCCUGAAGCCUGGGUUUUCUGGAGUGUACUUGAAAAUCUUCACAGCAAAAUGCCCAAAUGAGACAGGAAAAUCUUUCUGUGAUGUGUAAAUGUGUUGCUGCUCAUUCCAGGUGCUGAUCUGGACCUUCUCCAUAUGCUGGGGGAGGCUGUCUGCAAACUUCUGCCCAUCUCCCGAGCAGCAGGAGCAGCUCCAGCUCUCGGGCUCUGCUGUUGCCAUGGCUGUGCCCCAGUAUAAAGAUCCUAUGGAUGAAAUAGCUCCUUUGUCACAAGGACAUGACUCAGAAGCACAGAAGACAGAACAUCUUGGCAUUAGAGCAGCCACUGUGCUCCAACUAUUUGUAGAAGUUUGUGCUACUGUGGUUGCACCAGCUUCAGACCACAUACUCUUAGUGAGAAGAGGGCCAGGGGCUGGCAUUUUUUAAAUAGAAAUUAGAAAGUCAAAAAAACAUUUAAACAAAGUUCACCCUGACUAUUGCUUCUAGGAAAGCAAAGUCUUAGGCCAUGGGUGAGACUAAAAGCUCAGGGUUUGCACAGUGACAUUUCUCUUGGCUAAAUUACCCAGUAGAAUAUGGUGGUAGUUGCAGAUUUACGUACAGAAUAAAAUUUUCCAAUCUAGUUGUGGUUUUUUUUUU